Molecule: ribosomal RNA, 363 nt
Filed under: Listeria monocytogenes
Lineage: Bacteria; Bacillati; Bacillota; Bacilli; Caryophanales; Listeriaceae
Description: bacterial LSU rRNA
Rfam family: Bacterial large subunit ribosomal RNA
Source: RNAcentral
CGAAACUGUGGAUGAACCUCUUUAGAGGUUCGUGGUAGGAGAGCGUUCUAAGGGCGGUGAAGUCAGACCGGAAGGACUGGUGGAGCGCUUAGAAGUGAGAAUGCCGGUAUGAGUAGCGAAAGAAGGGUGAGAAUCCCUUCCACCGAAUAUCUAAGGUUUCCUGAGGAAGGCUCGUCCGCUCAGGGUUAGUCGGGACCUAAGCCGAGGCCGAUAGGCGUAGGCGAUGGACAACAGGUAGAGAUUCCUGUACCAGUGCUAAUUGUUUAACCGAUGGGGUGACACAGAAGGAUAGGGAAUCGCACGAAUGGAAAUGUGCGUCCAAGCAGUGAGUGUGAGAAGUAGGCAAAUCCGCUUCUCGCGAAG